RNAcentral lists this ribosomal RNA (26 nucleotides) under Agaricus martinicensis. Its description in RNAcentral is "partial 28S ribosomal RNA". Lineage: Eukaryota; Fungi; Basidiomycota; Agaricomycetes; Agaricales; Agaricaceae. The record is from RNAcentral.
UGACCUCAAAUCAAGUAGGACUACCC